This 74-nucleotide transfer RNA is filed under the name Flexiglena variabilis. Its description in RNAcentral is "tRNA-His". It matches the Rfam family "tRNA". Rfam says of the family: Transfer RNA (tRNA) molecules are approximately 80 nucleotides in length. Their secondary structure includes four short double-helical elements and three loops (D, anti-codon, and T loops). The record is from RNAcentral. Lineage: Eukaryota; Euglenozoa; Euglenophyceae; Euglenales; Phacaceae.
GGCGGGCGUCGCCAAGUGGUAAGGCAAAGGACUGUGACUCCUUUACUCGCGGGUUCGAUUCCCGUCGUUCGCCC